Molecule: ribosomal RNA, 360 nt
Filed under: Escherichia coli
Lineage: Bacteria; Pseudomonadati; Pseudomonadota; Gammaproteobacteria; Enterobacterales; Enterobacteriaceae
Also listed under: 3 other names
Description: bacterial SSU rRNA
Rfam family: Bacterial small subunit ribosomal RNA
Source: RNAcentral
UGGGGAUGACGUCAAGUCAUCAUGGCCCUUACGACCAGGGCUACACACGUGCUACAAUGGCGCAUACAAAGAGAAGCGACCUCGCGAGAGCAAGCGGACCUCAUAAAGUGCGUCGUAGUCCGGAUUGGAGUCUGCAACUCGACUCCAUGAAGUCGGAAUCGCUAGUAAUCGUGGAUCAGAAUGCCACGGUGAAUACGUUCCCGGGCCUUGUACACACCGCCCGUCACACCAUGGGAGUGGGUUGCAAAAGAAGUAGGUAGCUUAACCUUCGGGAGGGCGCUUACCACUUUGUGAUUCAUGACUGGGGUGAAGUCGUAACAAGGUAACCGUAGGGGAACCUGCGGUUGGAUCACCUCCUUA